RNAcentral lists this ribosomal RNA (253 nucleotides) under uncultured bacterium. RNAcentral describes it as "partial 16S ribosomal RNA". It matches the Rfam family "Bacterial small subunit ribosomal RNA", at positions 524 to 776 of the family's 1533-position model. The record is from RNAcentral.
UACGUAGGGGGCAAGCGUUGUCCGGAAUCAUUGGGCGUAAAGAGCGUGUAGGCGGCCCGGUAAGUCCGCUGUGAAAGUCCAGGGCUCAACCCUGGGAUGCCGGUGGAUACUGUCGGGCUCGAGUCCGGAAGAGGAGUGUGGAAUUCCUGGUGUAGCGGUGAAAUGCGCAGAUAUCAGGAGGACCACCACUGGCGAAUGCCGCACUCUGGGACGUGCCUGACGCUGAGACGCGUAAGCGUGGGGAGCAAACAGG